GGGGACGUUUGGGUUCGACAAAAGUGUAAUGGUUUAAAUUGCAAGUGGACGGGAGUCCUUAAAUCCACAAUUAAAUAUAACUGGAAACAGACAACAAUUAUCUUUCGCUUAAAAAUUAUUUAGCGAGCUCUAACUUAUUCCUAGCUUACGGGAAUAUUUUAGGGUAAUACCAAGUAAGCUAUAUUAUUAUGAAUCCUAUAAGUAAUAAUGAAUAUUAAUAGGAUAGUUAUCUAUAUAGAAGUCAGUUACUAAGUAGAUAAUGAAAAUAAAUAACUGACUAAACUUGUAGACGUUUAAAUUAAUUUGCUUUUGGACAGGAGUUCAAUUCUCCUCGUCUCCACCA
This 343-nucleotide transfer-messenger RNA is filed under the name Bacilli. RNAcentral's name for it is "UMGS1449 sp900551925 Standard tmRNA". It matches the Rfam family "transfer-messenger RNA". From Rfam's summary of the family: Bacterial tmRNA, also known as 10Sa RNA or SsrA, is named for its dual tRNA and mRNA-like properties. Its role is to liberate the mRNA from a stalled ribosome. To accomplish this part of the tmRNA is used as a reading frame that ends in a translation stop signal. The record is from RNAcentral. Lineage: Bacteria; Bacillati; Bacillota. RNAcentral also lists the same sequence under 1 other name.